Molecule: ribozyme, 114 nt
Filed under: Aedes aegypti (yellow fever mosquito)
Lineage: Eukaryota; Metazoa; Arthropoda; Insecta; Diptera; Culicidae
Description: drz-agam-1 ribozyme
Rfam family: drz-agam-1 ribozyme
Source: Rfam by way of RNAcentral
UGUCCAGUAACUCCUAGCCCUACCUCCCCGCGGUGCCACCUGGGGCACGAGUAACCAUAGGAAAGAAGGGUAACCAACCCCGGUGGAACCUUUGUCGUAUGCUGACAGGGAAGG